UACGUAGGAGGCAAGCGUUGUCCGGAAUUACUGGGCGUAAAGCGCGUGUAGGUGGUGGGACAAGUCUGCUGUGAAAGCGCCUGGCUUAACCGGGCGAGGUCGGCGGAAACUGUUCGACUCGAGGACGGUAGAGGGGGGUGGAAUUCCCGGUGUAGUGGUGAAAUGCGUAGAGAUCGGGAGGAACACCUGUGGCGAAGGCGGCCCCCUGGCCGGCCCUGACACUGAGACGCGAAGGCGUGGGAGCGAACGGG
RNAcentral lists this ribosomal RNA (251 nucleotides) under uncultured bacterium. RNAcentral describes it as "partial 16S ribosomal RNA". It matches the Rfam family "Bacterial small subunit ribosomal RNA", at positions 524 to 776 of the family's 1533-position model. The record is from RNAcentral.